CUCUCGAAGUACACUCGUGUAUCACGUCGUCUGUCUGCUUCUUCGAUGACGCAUUAAGACUGUCACAAAUGUUAAUAACGUGUUUUAUACGGAAUGAUAAUGUUCCAAAUCUAUUCGAAAAUAAAUAAAGAUGUUUCUGUUGUACUCUAACAUUUCAGAUGUAACGUUUGGGUCGUCAGCGAGCAGUCAUUACGUUCGUCUACAAGUGUGACUCUCAGAGGAGAAGAGACGCAGAUCGCGGAGCGCGG
RNAcentral lists this unclassified non-coding RNA (248 nucleotides) under Melitaea cinxia (Glanville fritillary). RNAcentral's name for it is "misc RNA ENSMCXG00005002536.1". The record is from RNAcentral. Lineage: Eukaryota; Metazoa; Arthropoda; Insecta; Lepidoptera; Nymphalidae.